ACGGAAGGCAGCAGUAGGGAAUAUUGCACAAUGGGUGAAACCCUGAUGCAGCAACGCCACGUGUGGGAAGAAGCAUUUCGGUGUGUAAACCACUGUCGUGAGGGAAUAAUGCUUGGUCUCGGACAAGUUGAAUGUACCUCGAAAGGAAGCACCGGACAACUUCGUGCCAGCCGCCGCGGUAAUACGAGGGGUGCAAGCGUUGUUCGGAAUCACUGGGCGUAAAGGGAGCGCAGGCGGAGAUGCAAGCAGUCUGUACAAUACCGGGGCCCAACCCCAGACCUGCAGACUGGACUGUUUCUCUUGGAUAGUUCAGGGGCAAGCGGAAUUCCUGGUGUAGCGGUGGAAUGCGUAGAGAUCAGGAAGAACACCGAUGGCGAAGGCAGCUUGCUGGGGACUUAUCGACGCUCAUGCUCGAAAGUGCGGGUAGCAAACAGGAUUAGAUACCCUGGUA
This 451-nucleotide ribosomal RNA is filed under the name uncultured Fibrobacter sp. Its description in RNAcentral is "partial 16S ribosomal RNA". It matches the Rfam family "Bacterial small subunit ribosomal RNA", at positions 341 to 792 of the family's 1533-position model. Lineage: Bacteria; Pseudomonadati; Fibrobacterota; Fibrobacteria; Fibrobacterales; Fibrobacteraceae. The record is from RNAcentral.